UGGAGCACCUCCUCUCCCUCCUCCUUGACUGAUCUUGGUGUCUGCAGGGCUGUUUCUCUCACAUGUUCUCACACCUCUCUCUGGCUACUUCUAUUGUUCAAUGCAA
Egretta garzetta (little egret) is the source of this 106-nucleotide long non-coding RNA. RefSeq lists it as uncharacterized. NCBI's taxonomy places the organism in Eukaryota, Metazoa, Chordata, Aves, Pelecaniformes, Ardeidae. The transcript has 3 exons. The record is from RefSeq and is a predicted model, not a curated record.